GGAAAGACGAAGGACACGUAUUGGUAAACCACCUCAGAUGAUAUUAGUUUUGCCACUGUGUACAAUAGCAAACAGGUGUGACGUGCAUGCGGCGGCCGCACUCGCGCAUGGCUUGGAGGAUGGAGAAUCUUUAACACGUAUUUCAUAUGGUUGGAUGGAACGCCGUGGAGCUAUAAUGGCUGGGCUGUUGGAGAACCCAAUAAUGCUGGUGGGCAGGAGAACUGUGUAGAGACGUGGUAUAAUCUGUCGUUCAAAGAUGACCCAUGCACAAGACCCGA
Sinocyclocheilus rhinocerous is the source of this 278-nucleotide long non-coding RNA. RefSeq lists it as uncharacterized. Lineage: Eukaryota; Metazoa; Chordata; Actinopteri; Cypriniformes; Cyprinidae. The record is from RefSeq and is a predicted model, not a curated record. The transcript is spliced from 4 exons.